UAGGGAAUAUUGGACAAUGGGGGCAACCCUGAUCCAGCCAUGCCGCGUGAGUGAAGAAGGCCCUCGGGUUGUAAAGCUCUUUUGUCCGGAAAGAAAAGCAUUCGGUGAAUACCCGGAUGUUCUGACGGUACCGGAAGAAUAAGCACCGGCUAACUUCGUGCCAGCAGCCGCGGUAAUACGAAGGGUGCAAGCGUUACUCGGAAUUACUGGGCGUAAAGCGUGCGUAGGUGGUUGUUUAAGUCUGAUGUGAAAGCCCUGGGCUCAACCUGGGAAUGGCAUUGGAAACUGGGCAGCUAGAGUGCGGUAGAGGGUAGUGGAAUUCCCGGUGUAGCAGUGAAAUGCGUAGAGAUCGGGAGGAACGUCUGUGGCGAAGGCGACUGCCUGGACCAGCACUGACACUGAGGCACGAAAGCGUGGGGAGCAAACA
Molecule: ribosomal RNA, 427 nt
Filed under: uncultured bacterium
Lineage: Bacteria
Description: bacterial SSU rRNA
Rfam family: Bacterial small subunit ribosomal RNA
Source: RNAcentral